AGAGUCUCACCUGCUCGAUGGCUUUUAGUUAAAUGGCCGCUUUUUUGUGCUGAGGUAGCGUGGUAAGUAGCCCCUUGAUUGGGGGAUAGAAUGAAUGGUUGGACGUGAAGAAGCUGUUUCCAAUGUAGUUAAAUAGAAAUUUUUUUUUAAGUGAAAAAGCUUAAAUUUUUGUAAAAGACGAUAAGACCCUGUCGAACUUGAUUAGGUUUAAUAUGUUAUUUUGAAAUUUUGAUAUAUGAAGUUUAUUUGAAAUUGUGGUUUGAUCUUUUAAACUAUGCGGAUAAAGUUGUUAAAAAUUAUACUAUUCUGAAUUUUUGUUGGGGCAACAGAUGUUUAUUAAACAACAUUUUAUUAUUAUAAAGACCCUAUAUGAUGGACUAAAGCAAAAGUUACCGCAGGGAUAACAGCGUAAUUUUUUUUUAUAAGUUUUAUUAAAAAAAGAGUUUGCGACCUCGAUGUUGAAUUAAGAAAACUUUAUGGCUUAGGCGCCAUAGUGAGUGAAACUGUUCGUUUUUUAAUUUCUUACAUGAUCUGAGUUCCAAACCGGGAA
Molecule: ribosomal RNA, 550 nt
Filed under: Meretrix planisulcata
Lineage: Eukaryota; Metazoa; Mollusca; Bivalvia; Venerida; Veneridae
Description: partial large subunit ribosomal RNA
Rfam family: Archaeal large subunit ribosomal RNA
Source: RNAcentral